AGCAACCUGCCCUUCACUCUGGGAUAACCUCGGGAAAUCGGGGCUAAUACCGGAUAUGAGCUCCUGUCGCAUGGCGGGUGUUGGAAAGUUUUUCGGUGAAGGAUGGGCUCGCGGCCUAUCAGUUUGUUGGUGAGGUAGUGGCUCACCAAGGCGAUGACGGGUAGCCGGCCUGAGAGGGCGACCGGCCACACUGGGACUGAGACACGGCCCAGACUCCUACGGGAGGCAGCAGUGGGGAAUAUUGCACAAUGGGCGAAAGCCUGAUGCAGCGACGCCGCGUGAGGGAUGACGGCCUUCGGGUUGUAAACCUCUUUCAGCAGGGAAGAAGCGAAAGUGACGGUACCUGCAGAAGAAGCGCCGGCUAACUACGUGCCAGCAGCCGCGGUAAUACGUAGGGCGCAAGCGUUGUCCGGAAUUAUUGGGCGUAAAGAGCUUGUAGGUGGCUUGUCGCGUCUGCCGUGAAAACCCGAGGCUCAACCUCGGGCGUGCGGUGGGUACGGGCAGGCUAGAGUGUGGUAGGGGAGACUGGAACUCCUGGUGGUCGUCAGCUCGUGUCGUGAGAUGUUGGGUUAAGUCCCGCAACGAGCGCAACCCUCGUUCCAUGUUGCCAGCGCGUAAUGGCGGGGACUCAUGGGAGACUGCCGGGGUCAACUCGGAGGAAGGUGGGGACGACGUCAAAUCAUCAUGCCCCUUAUGUCUUGGGCUUCACGCAUGCUACAAUGGCCGGUACAAAGGGUUGCGAAACUGUGAGGUGGAGCGAAUCCCAAAAAGCCGGUCUCAGUUCGGAUUGGGGUCUGCAACUCGACCCCAUGAAGUCGGAGUCGCUAGUA
This 830-nucleotide ribosomal RNA is filed under the name Brachybacterium rhamnosum. RNAcentral describes it as "bacterial SSU rRNA". It matches the Rfam family "Bacterial small subunit ribosomal RNA", at positions 120 to 1340 of the family's 1533-position model. The record is from RNAcentral. Lineage: Bacteria; Bacillati; Actinomycetota; Actinomycetes; Micrococcales; Dermabacteraceae.